GCGCGGCGGCGAUGGCGGAGCGGUGCCGAUCCGGAUCCCGGUGCCGCCCGGGCAGCAGCAGGGAGCGGUGCCCGGGGCAGAGUCCCCGGAAAGGAGCGGCAGGAGCGGCGAUCGCCCCGGAGUGGAAGCGGGUUUUCAGCAAGUGCGGCGCUCCUCCGAGGCUUCUCUCGUGCUUUUACUAUUAUUUAUAGUCUUGUAAAGAAGCACUGCUAAUAUGGGCACUUUAAAACAACUGUCUUGUCCUACCUUUCAUCUUCAAAAGAGUUUUAAAGGCAGUCGUUCAGAUUUAUUAUUUUUUGUCCUGAAGGCAACUCGUACUCGAAACCUGCUGCUAAUAAUUAUCAGCCCGGCAGUACGCAUCCACCCGCCCCGCCUCGUACGCUGCGAAAAUGAAGUUUUCCAGCAUUUUACAGAAAUAGCGCAGAGAAUAAGGAAGACGGGGAGAGGAAAAGAGGUGUGGUUUCGACGCAGAGCAUAUUUCCCCGCAGACACAGGACGGUGAGCUAAGCUACCGCAUGUUUCGCUGAAGCAGAAAAAGGAGGGACGCCGUCCUUUCGUGCAACACCGACCGGCUCACGUCGUAUGGGAAAAGUACAGAAUGUCGUGGAGCUUCGGAAAAAAGCACAAACUUUCCACCUUUCUCCCAGCCCUCUCAGCUCUGCGCCUUCGGUUUGCAGGGGGAGUCUGUGAAUCCACAGAAAUGUUGGCAACCUCCCCCUCCCCGUAUUUAUCCCCUAUCAUUUACAGACAAGGUUCUUUUUAAAAACAUAAAUAAAGCUUUUUUUUUUCUGGUCAA
Molecule: long non-coding RNA, 796 nt
Organism: Parus major (Great Tit)
Lineage: Eukaryota; Metazoa; Chordata; Aves; Passeriformes; Paridae
Exons: 2
Source: RefSeq, a predicted model, not a curated record